Molecule: non-coding RNA, 30 nt
Filed under: Mus musculus (house mouse)
Lineage: Eukaryota; Metazoa; Chordata; Mammalia; Rodentia; Muridae
Source: RNAcentral
UUUGGGCAGGUGUUUUCGCAGCUCCAAAGG